RNAcentral lists this transfer RNA (64 nucleotides) under Trocnadella arisana. RNAcentral's name for it is "tRNA-Trp". The record is from RNAcentral. Lineage: Eukaryota; Metazoa; Arthropoda; Insecta; Hemiptera; Cicadellidae.
AAGAUUUUAAGUUAAUAAAACUAUUAGCCUUCAAAGUUACAAUUAUCUAUAAAGAUAGGUCUUA